AACUUUAAAAUCGAUCGUACGAUUAUACCAGUCGGAACAAUGACAUGAUUUGAACAAACAUAUAAGGUAAGCAAUCGUAAUGUUUUCAGGUUUGACAAAAGUUCGUGGCGUUACUAUUUUUUAAUAUUUUCUAAUUGUUUCAGUUUUACACGAGCUGAAUUUGAAAAAAAAAGCAUCAUAUUAAUGAUAAUAAGAACAUGUCUACUCAGAAUGAUCGAUAGCUGUAGAUCUAUCAUUCAACCAGGAAGAAUUAUCCAGUAUCAUUGUACAGAAUGUAAAUACUGAAAUAACCAAUUUCAUAUCAGCAGUUGCUAACGGUCUAAAGAACCUAAAUCUAGUAUCAGAAACUUUUAAGUUUUGAAUCCUUUUCGCAUUCCGAACUACAGUAUACACAAUCAAUCAUCAGAAUGACAUAAGAUUUAAUUUUCUUGUUUCAUUUCCUUUGGAUUUAUUUGUAUAUUUUAUAUUGCUGUUCAUUUUACCUGUUCAUUUUCAUUUCUGAAAAUAAGAGCGUGCAAAUAAAUACGUUCGAAAAAGACCAUGUACAUUUCUGAAAAAAAAAAAUCAGAAUCAUGUACAUUACAAUCAAAGUUACAAGUAGACUAAGUAUAAAUACAAACAAUAUCUCAAGGCCAACAAGCUAAUAUAAUGAUAAGGAGAUGUCGUACAAUGUAUUAUUUCCAACAACAACAAAAAAACGGACAAUGAUGUAAACAACUACAGUUCAUCACGUACUUCAACAAUGAACAAAAAUAAAUUUACACUUUAUGAUUUCCGUCCGUCCGAAUCGUUUUUUUUUCUCUCUCUCUCUGGAUUUACCUUCAUCAAAACGCUCAGUCCUUAACAUUUGAAAGCCAGGGAUGGAGAUGGAAAAACGCGUCGGGGGAUUUAUGAUCAUAAGGGACCAAAAACGAAUAGCAAAUAUUCAAAGUAGGACAAUUUUGCCAGAUAAGAUUGUGAUACUAUUUUUAUUUUAGAUAAAAGUUGGUAAAUAUUUUUUUGUUUCUUGUAGAAUAUAUACAGUAGUUUAUUAAAGUACAAAAUGUCACGUAAUUAGCAGAGACAUACAUGUAAUAUGUAUUAUAUGUCUCUGUAAUAAGUAACAAGAAAUAAUAUUUCAUGUCAACAUUAUAAUUUGAAUUAAAAUGUGACAUUAAAACUGCUCAUGCUUUACGUUUUUACAUCGCGAUGACCGUGAGGGCAUUCCGAUGUAUUGCUAUCGCCUAGAUUUCCAUUACGUAACUUUCGUUUUGGGUUUGUAACCGAUCUAUAAACUUGAUAGAUACGCGAUAUUAACGAGUGCAAACUAACAUUCCAUAUCGUUUGUUAUAAAUACAUCUCGUCAAUGAAUACUGAUAAAAAUAUUUUUGUUUAGAACAUAAAUUAAUAAUAUGAAAAUGUUUUGUCGUUAGAUAUAUAUAUAUAAGUAAAAAAUCAUUGAUAAUAUCUAUGCACACGUACCGAAAAAUUGUGUUAAAGCAUGCGGAAGAAUAUCUCAAGAACGUUUUGAGACAAUCCCGGAAAGGACCGGUAACUCUGUUAUUGUUUUUGCGGGAAAAUAUGAAUGCCUACUCAUAUCCAAUCUUUUAGAAAAAUCGAAUUUUUACAGAAGAGUGUCCACCAUGCACUUGCACUGCACUAUUAUUAGAAUAGUAGAAUAGAAUGAUAUACAAAUGGAUGAAUAUUAUAUUUACAUAUAACUGUUAUAUUGAUAUAAUAUAUAACAACAAACCAGUAUAUACUGAUUUGUAUCAGUACAAUAUAAUAGUUAUUACGGUGAGGUUGAAUUUCAUGUCAUUUAUUCAUCAUCCACGCACGAACUUGUCUCAGAAAAAAAUAUAUCUUUGUACAUUGACCUCAGUUUCAGGUAUAGAGAUGUGAUUUUUUCUGUGUCAAGUGCUUUUGAUCAUCCACAAGAACUUGCGGUCAUCCGAUGUUCAGUACUUCAUUACUUUGAUUUUUAAUCAAUUUUAAAAUUAGUUAACUUUACCUUUCCUGUACCCCUUUGUUCAUGCUUCUUUUUCUCUUUCAAGUGCCUAACUGGAAACAAUUUUGAUAUUCACUGAUCAAUCAAACCUUUGUAUAUAUUAUAGUAAACAGACUGUUACUCCGCCUACCCAUUGAAUUCAGGUGUCACUCUUAAUUACAAUGUCAGAGCAAACAACCAAACAAAGUUUGCAAGCAAGGCAUUUAAACUCUUGUUUUGCAUGCUAUAUUAUUUCAACUGUAAUAAACUUCUAGUUCAUGCAGUUACUCUACGAAUAUAUUUGCCAAAAUCCCAAAUUAAUACAUACCUUAGAAAAUGUUAGACCAUCAUUGGAACAUUGGAAUCGAGUACCCAAAUGCUGCUUUUAAUAUUUUACAUUUUCCUUUUUUUUUUGAAAACGAAAGAACACGACACUGUGUAGAAUUUUCUGAACUAAUGUUUGUUUUCUUUUUGCGAUGACGUUGUACGUUUUCUCUUCGACCUAUAGAGUUUUAUUGCUCCUUUUGAUAUCGCUAAUUUCAUGUUCGGAGGAGAGUACCACACGAUAAAUCGAAGAAAGAUUAACAACACCACGAUGCAAAAAAACCUAAAUUUUGUCCUAAAAUUACUACAUGGAAAACUAACGAUAGAGCUUUACAAAACACAUCCAAAGUAUGGGUAAACGUAGUUGUUUUCAAAGGGUUAGCAAUUCCUGUUUGACUAUGACCAUUUGACGUGAUUCUCAAUGCAUAAGAGUGAAAAUAACAUGAAUUUACGAAUGUGUUGGGUUUAGUUCACCAGCCCACGUGUAAGACUAAAAAAUCACUUUAGUAAAGAAAUAAUUCAUGAGGUUUUUUUUUAUUUUCAAAAUAAAUUGAUGUACUUAUAUAUGUUAAUAUUUUUAAUUGUCAUGGAAAAUAACGUUUUCAUGAGAAUUUUCCGUUUUUGCUGAAGAUAUGCCUUAUUCAUAAGAUGCAUAACUAUAAGUUAUUCAUUUAGUUUUGUUUAUUAUGCCAUUUCAUGGGCCAAGAUAGAAUUCAAGGUGGCAAUAGGUAUCAUAUAUUUAAUGAACAACUACAGAUCUGUACAGUACUCGUUGAUUUUCGGUUAAAGUCAAUAUAGAUAAUUAGUCACAGAUGGUAAAGGGUGUUCAAAGAACAAUAACACUACUCGUUCUAUUUUACAUAAACGUACAAAGUACAAGUGAAGUGAUUGGUAUGUACUAUUUUCACAUGGAAUCCGUAGUACAGUAAGUAACUACUGGUUUAAAAUGACAUAACACCAAAAGAUGCAUUGAAGAUUACAAUAAGUCUUUUGUUUUGUUUUAUUUUUACUCUUUGAAAGUGUCAUAUAAAUAAACUCAUAUCUUGCCUAUUUUCCACUAAUAUCGUUAAAAUUUAAAGCUCAAUGUGUACUGAUUGUAAUAAAAUACUUAAUACCUGAAAUUCAGUUUCUGACAAGAAGACCAUACACUUUCAUCAAGACUCUUCCUGCUUUGUUUUUCUUUAUAUAAAAAGUAAUAUUGUGCUGUAUUCAUUAUUUUAAAAGAGGAAUAUUCAAAGUCAAAAGAUUGGAGAAAACCAUAUAUAUGUAUCAACACUUUGAGAGGGAGUUAUUCAAUAUUCAAUAAAAAUCUGUCACAAAGUACCAAAUAUGUCAAGACCAACAUCAAUAAUAUAUCAAAUGAAGUAGUUUUAGAUGUGUUGUUCAGUAAGUAUUUUUAUUCAAAUGAUAUGCCGAAAUAAAGUAAAUUUAGAAAAAAUGUUUCAUAUGCUAUAAAACUUAAUACUGAAACAGUUUUUUAAAUAUUGCAGUUGUGAUCAGUAGUUGUAGGAAUGAUAUAUGUUUUACCUGGAAGGUUACCGUAACAACUUUAACGUUAACCUGUAAAGUUGAUAAUUUACACCUGAGCAUUUAUAUUGGUGAUCCUAAUGGUAAAUUACAAGCUGACUGUUUACCACCAAGCCAGCCAAACAAUUGUGAACCGUACUAUAAAAAUAGCAGUGUAAUCCAAUAUAAAUCGACAAAUGAAACUGUAUUUCAAGUAAAUGGUUACAUAGAUUAUAGUGUUAACGGAAAUUGGACAUGUAGGCAUGGAACAAGAAAGGAAAUUGCUACGGUUGAAGUAUCUGUCUUGAGAAUAAAGGGCGAAAAUAAUGAAACUGCUAAAGAUAUUUUAUGCCAGAUUGAUUUUGAUUGUACCAAGUCAUCGCUACUGUGGAGUAUGAUAAGUUAUUUUUCUUUCGUGAUGAUCUGCGUGGUUCUUAUAUCAACAGGUGUACGGAUUUGUAGCUUCCGACGUGCGGAUGAUAUGGUGAAUAAACUUAUCAUAAGGGUCAUAAGAAACCAGACUAAACUGUCAGUUUGCAAGAGGAUAUUUUUUAUCAUAUUUACUGUGACUUUUUUCUCCCUCGUGGUGUUUUCGAACAUGCUGCACCAGAAAAGGUGUCCCUUACAAUUCGUGUUUGUCUGCCUUGGAGUGAUAUUUGGAAUUAUAAACAGUGUUCUUUUUCUGAACAAAGAUGAAAUUACAAACAACAUACCAAAUCAAGAUGAGGAAUUUCCAGAUUCACAGAGGCUCAGUCGGAAUAAUGAAGUAAAUGAAUCAGACUUGUGAUGAAGUUUCGAGUAAGCGCACGCCGCAUGCGGGUAUUUUUACUCCAUCAUAGAAGUGGUCAUCUUAGUUGUGAAGUAGAAGCUUAAUUGUCACGAUAUUUUAUGCCGGUCAUAUGGUUGAAGUACAAAAAGACAUUCGACGAGAUUGAUUGGUUAUUGUAAAUGUUUCAAGUGCGCAGUGUUGUCAUAUACAAGCUGAAGUAAAUUAAUGUUGUAUACUAACUAAAUCGAACAUUGACUCAGAAUAUUCAAUACUAAUAAACCGUAAAGUGCACAGAUUUGUCGUUGUUGCUUCAGUUUGUAUCAUUUCUAGUUUUUAUUUUUGAGCAUUUGCCCCUAAUUCGCCCAAGAUAAACGAAAAAUAUUACUUAUGCGAGAAAAAGUAUUCGAAAGAUCAGCUUGCUUAUGUGCAUACGUCUUAUUUGUCCAGUUGUAUUAUUAAAGCAAUAUUCAUUUAAAAUAGACAUGUACAAAUAAUGUAGGAUAUUAUAUUUCCGUUUGAACAUCACGUAUUUCUGUGUCUGUGAUAAUCGUUUUCGGGAACGCUGGAAAAUAAGUUAGCAAAGUCAUUUAUUAAACACCGUUUGACAGCAUGAAGGGUCUAAUAGAACAGCCAAUUCUAACUGUGAACAACAAAUUUAUUUAUUUUGUAAAAUAUAAAAAAUAUUUCAAUACUCCUAACAACAAAAUUAUCAUAUUUAAAUGUUUCUGUGUGCGAUUUUUUUAUUUAACGCCAUUUUUUCCCAGGUUAGAGUUGUCUUUUUGACAUUGUUUUAAAUCUUUUUUAUUAAUAUUGUAUUAAUAUUGUGUCAUAGAUCAAAUUUAUUCGUUCA
Molecule: RNA transcript, 5415 nt
Organism: Mytilus californianus (California mussel)
Lineage: Eukaryota; Metazoa; Mollusca; Bivalvia; Mytilida; Mytilidae
Exons: 11
Source: RefSeq, a predicted model, not a curated record